CAGGCACCAGCUGCUGCAUGCUGGGAAAAGAGGAACUUAAAAUUGUUCUUGGCUGAGUCUUUCAGCAACUUGGCAGCCCUGAACUCAUGGAUAUUUUGAUACUUACCACACCCUGCCUGUCUCACCUACACUUCCUUGACUGAUACUAAGAUGCUGCAACUAGUAUUAGCUCUGGCCUUUCCUACAAUAUUGAAGUUCCUGUUUGCUCUGUGUCUCUUCUCUGGCUCUGAAGAUGGGCACUGAUGAUGAGAGUUCUCUUUUCAUUCCGAGAAUCUUCUACAACAUGACCCGAACACCACAGGACUCUGUUGGUGUUUGGUACAGAUCUGCAAGCCACCUACAGCCACGUUGGUUGAAACGGGAUCAAAGAAAAGGAAUGUUGAAUCAUUUUUUCCAUAUAAAUAUCCGUGUUGAAUCCAGUGUUAGUUCCAGAAAAGACAACCCCCUCUUUCUCCGAAUUGUUAGCCUCUUCGUGAACUCGGAAACUACGUGUUUGUGAUUCUGGCUCAAGGGCAAGAGAAUCAAGCACAGAUGGAGACAAAACUUUUCUUCCUAUUGGUCCACUUAUCCCAGGAUCUGGCAGAGCCUCUCAGGAGACAGCCAUAUCGGGCUUCGGUCAGCAAGCACUUCCUCACAUCCACAAUAGCGUCCAGGUUUGGUGACUGUAUAUGGGAUGGAUCUCCAGAACUGUACUUUCUGGGCCCUUUGUCAACAUUGUUUCUUGACAAAAACCAUCAGUCCUGACCAGAAAGCUUGAACAGAAACUCACAUAGGCCCCUUGGGGGAGAGCGUCACUCAAACAGAAACCAACAACUGGGAAAGAGGACAAUACUUUGAAUGAGAGACUUGUAAGAGACAUCACUGUUCUAUAUGCAAGAUAAGAAAAGGAGUGGACAGAAGACGAUCUUCCUGGGUGUUCUAGCAGGGAAACUGGCCAUCUAACAAUUCUAAGCUUCCUUUGCCUCUUGCCAAGAAAAAGUGCAGCCAAGAGGGAGCUAAGACGAUUCAGGCGACUGAAGACCAGAGAGACAGAAGACUUGCCAAGUAAAGCUUCUCUACUUAGUGAAAAAAUAAAUAUUCCAGUAAAGCAACAAAAUCCGGAGUCCAGGCUACAAUGUAUUACACCUUAUAGCCACUCCUUGCUGCGUGUCUCAGAUUACCCACUGUUUGGGGAUGAAUUGUGCCUCCUUUGUCCCAUGUGGAAAAGUCCCCUUGUCCUCUAAGAUCUCAGAUAAGGCCUGUCCUUGAAGAGACAACUAAGGUUAGCUAGGUCAUUGAGGUGUGCCCAAAUCCUUCUCUGUUAUGAAUGGCUGAAAAAUAAGAAGGGGGAGGGUAGGAGAAGAAGAGGAGGAGAAGACAAAUAAAAUAACAACAACAACAACAAAUACACAAUCCUGGGACAUUACAACUUUCUCUUGUUUCUGCCACUAGUCAUCGUAUUUGUUUUGAUAGCCCCAGCAAAAUGUAACUCCUGAGAGAAAAGGUAAUAUUCCAGGAUGGUACGGGCCAUGUCUUAUCUGUGGUUCCCAGGAUACUCUGGCAAAGUCCUGUUUUAUUAUUUCAGGUGUUGCAGAAAGCCUUUGGGAUUUUGCAGCCAGAGAAAAGACUUAUCUUUAACUUGUAAAAUUAGGAAAGUCCCACAAUUUUGCUAUAAAGUAGGAGUAAUAUCAUGUAGUUCACAUGGCUGGUGAUGGAAUUAAUGAGAUAAUAUCAAGAUGCCUGGCAUGGUUCCUGACAUAUUAAAAACUUUACUCCAUGACACUUAUACAUCAAAUGACAAGUCACGUGCUAACACCAUUACCAGAGGCACAAGGCAGAGGAAUGGUCUCUGGUUUACUCUAUGUCCACAAACCUUGUAUGAAAUGAAAAAAUUAAAAACCAACUUUUAGUUUGGACAUUUAAAAAAACUGGCUCAUUGUGGCUACUCUCCAGACUUGUGCAGAUCCUGAUCAUCAUUCUGCAUAAGUGCAAGAGUCUCAAGAGAACUCAGGUUCCAGUGACUUUGUUUCCAGUUUCCUAUGAAUGCUUUGGAUUGGAGAUGAUCCAGAAAAAUUAAUACUCAAGGUAACAAAAUAUUGCAUCAGAAAGACUUCAACUCAAAGAGGUUUCUGCUUACUGAGAGAGAUGGCAGGCAGUAAAGUAGCUGGUCCAUACAUUGUUCAUACAGGACUGGCAUCAAUCUGAGCCUGAAUCAAAUCUAGGAUGCUAGCAAGACCAUCGAAAUAUCAAUUCCCUUGCCUGUUACAGUGACUAGGUUGCAUUUGGAUAUCAAUUGUAGAUGACUUUUCAAACACAGAAAUGAGCAGAGUUUAAUAUCCAUUGGCUGACAAAGAGGCCUGGUUAAAAAUAUUUGGGGGAUGUUCUGGCAGAAGAUAAGAGGAUCUAGAGAGAAAAUCCUGUUUUAAAUUCUUAGAAUCUGGGCGCACACAGGGUAUUUCAUUUCUUUCCCUCUUGAUAAAAGGGCUGCAACUUAAAAGUCAGUUCAAUAAAACUAAAGAAUUUGGCUGUGGCCUGAACUGUGUCCUCUCCCAAAUCAUCUGCUGAAGCGUUAACCUUUCAGUGAGAUCGUGUUUGGUGAUAGGGCUUUGGGGAAGUAAUUACAGUUAAAUGAGGUUAACAAGGACAGGGUUAUCAUCUGAUGGAAUUGGCUGCAGGGACUCAACCUGACCUGACCUCAGCCAUCUUGAGUCAUAACCCCCACGAUUGCCCAAGAAUUACUCCAGAAUAUUUUCUUUAUGUAGUUUUUCCAACAUACUACCAACAGACAGAACAACUGGAGUGAUGGGUGGAGCUUCCCCCAUGGGACCUGGGACAAUUUUGCUUGCUGGCACCUGCAUGUCAGCAUGAGAUAAAAUAAGACCAUCCUAGAUUGGAGAAGAAUCACUUUGGUCCUAACUGCUAGCUAAGGUCCUCCCUCUGAGCUAAUUGGCAGGGGUUUACUGGUGUUGUUACAGCUUUUGACUGUGUUCUGUCAGGAAGUCUUCAAUAAACUACAUCCUACAACAGGCCUGGAUUUCAUAACCUUAGAUUUACAGAUUAUUGCCCAACACUCUGACACUUUGAGGCACUGGGAACUAUGAGUUAGAUGACAUUAUUUCUUACAAUCUUUUUUUUUCCAGGAACUAUGGGAAAAUAAUCCCAUUGUCAAGGGCAGUAGGUACACUCACCAAACAGGUUCUUGGAGAACCUGUUUCUCUGGCUUUCAGACCCCAGUAACUUCAAAAGUCAUAUGUUAAUAAUCAAACACUCCUCAGAUUCUUGUAAAUGUGCUGGCCAUUGCACAUGCUCAAUACGUGCCCUAGAUACUUUACUCCUUCCAUUAACUCCAUGUCUUUCCUUCUUUCCCCUCAUAAUCACAGUAUCUGCUGGGACUUUCUCCUGAAGCCACUUGGUGAGAAUACUUGUAGCUAAAAACUGUCUUUUGUCCCAUCUUGUCUCCAGUUGUGUAUAAUAAAGGUAAUGCCAUUUUUC
Long non-coding RNA from Mus musculus (house mouse), 3471 nucleotides. RefSeq annotates it as predicted gene, 31592. Lineage: Eukaryota; Metazoa; Chordata; Mammalia; Rodentia; Muridae. The record is from RefSeq and is marked validated. The transcript has 9 exons.